GAAAGUCUGACGGAGCACGCCGCGUGAGUGAUGAAGGUUUUCGGAUCGUAAAGCUCUGUUGUUAGGGAAGAACAAGUACCGUUCGAAUAGGGCGGUACCUUGACGGUACCUAACCAGAAAGCCACGGCUAACUACGUGCCAGCAGCCGCGGUAAUACGUAGGUGGCAAGCGUUGUCCGGAAUUAUUGGGCGUAAAGGGCUCGCAGGCGGUUUCUUAAGUCUGAUGUGAAAGCCCCCGGCUCAACCGGGGAGGGUCAUUGGAAACUGGGGAACUUGAGUGCAGAAGAGGAGAGUGGAAUUCCACGUGUAGCGGUGAAAUGCGUAGAGAUGUGGAGGAACACCAGUGGCGAAGGCGACUCUCUGGUCUGUAACUGACGCUGAGGAGCGAAAGCGUGGGGAGCGAACAGGAUUAGAUACCCUGGUAGUCCACGCCGUAAACGAUGAGUGCUAAGUGUUAGGGGGUUUCCGCCCCUUAGUGCUGCAGCUAACGCAUUAAGCACUCCGCCUGGGGAGUACGGUCGCAAGACUGAAACUCAAAGGAAUUGACGGGGGCCCGCACAAGCGGUGGAGCAUGUGGUUUAAUUCGAAGCAACGCGAAGAACCUUACCAGGUCUUGACAUCCUCUGACAAUCCUAGAGAUAGGACGUCCCCUUCGGGGGCAGAGUGACAGGUGGUGCAUGGUUGUCGUCAGCUCGUGUCGUGAGAUGUUGGGUUAAGUCCCGCAACGAGCGCAACCCUUGAUCUUAGUUGCCAGCAUUCAGUUGGGCACUCUAAGGUGACUGCCGGUGACAAACCGGAGGAAGGUGGGGAUGACGUCAAAUCAUCAUGCCCCUUAUGACCUGGGCUACACACGUGCUACAAUGGAC
Molecule: ribosomal RNA, 865 nt
Filed under: Bacillus subtilis
Lineage: Bacteria; Bacillati; Bacillota; Bacilli; Caryophanales; Bacillaceae
Description: bacterial SSU rRNA
Rfam family: Bacterial small subunit ribosomal RNA
Source: RNAcentral